AUUGAACGCUGGCGGCAGGCCUAACACAUGCAAGUCGAGCGGAGCGGCGGACGGGUGAGUAAUGCCUAGGAAUCUGCCUGGUAGUGGGGGAUAACGUCCGGAAACGGGAGCUAAUACAGCAUACUAUCAGAUGAGCCUAGGUCGGAUUAGCUAGUUGGUGGUGUAAAGGCCUACCAAGGCGACGAUCCGUAACUGGUCUGAGAGGAUGAUCAGUCACACUGGAAUGUAGACACGGUCCAGACUUCUACGGGAGGCAGCAGUGGGGAAUAUUGGACAAUGGUCGCAAGCCUGAUCCAGCCAUUCCGCGUGUGUGAAGAAGGGCUUCGGAUUGUAAAGCACUUUAAGUUGGGAGGCGUUACCAACAGAAUAAGCACCGGCUAACUUCGUGCCAGCAGCCGCGGUAAUUC
RNAcentral lists this ribosomal RNA (407 nucleotides) under uncultured bacterium. Its description in RNAcentral is "partial 16S ribosomal RNA". It matches the Rfam family "Bacterial small subunit ribosomal RNA", at positions 30 to 526 of the family's 1533-position model. The record is from RNAcentral.